RNAcentral lists this long non-coding RNA (809 nucleotides) under Bemisia tabaci. RNAcentral describes it as "lncRNA ENSSWEETPG007085". Lineage: Eukaryota; Metazoa; Arthropoda; Insecta; Hemiptera; Aleyrodidae. The record is from RNAcentral.
GUGAAAAGUGGAGCAGGAAGCUCAAAACCACAAGCAAUCUUUCCCAGCAAGAAAGAAGAGGAAAAACACUUAGAAAAAAAAGAGAAGAAUUACUGAGAAAGCAAGAAAAAGAAGAAGAAGCGCGGAAAAAGAAAGAGGAGACUCUUAAAAUGCUGUCAGAAGAAUCAAAACGGAAACGGGAAGAAAAGAGGAUGAAGGCUGCUGCUGCGCGAGAAGCUAAUGAGAAACAAAAGCAAGAAGCUGCAUUAAAAGUUUGAAAAAGAGAAAGAAGAACGAAAGAAAAUACAGUUGGAACGAGAAGAAAAACUUAAAGAAGAACAAGCCAAAAAGCGCAAUCUCACUGCCCAGAAAGCUGCUGAGACAGAAGAAAGACGGCGCCAAGAAGAAGCUGCUCGCCAAGCUAGACUCCGUGAAAUGGCUGAAGAGCAGAAGCGAGCUGCUGCCAUCAAACUUCGAGAGCAGGAGGAAAAUGCAGCUAUGAAGCGGAAAUUGGAAGAAGCAAAACAAGCAAAGAAGCUUGGCAAAGAGCCAAAGAAGGAAGUUCAAGAGUACAAAUGCACACCAACAGAGAAGAACGCCCUUUGAAAAAACCCAAACAGAAGAUGACUAUGGUGUGGAGGAUGCCUCUGCCAGCGACUCGAGUGAUGAUGAAGCCAAUCCUAAGAAAGAAAUACCUCGUUGGGCUACUGCCUCAAACCGUAAUCCGCAACUGUUGCUUCAGACAUACUAUCCGUUCUGUUAUCUUCAUCAAUUCAUGUCAUGCAAGAAAGAGGUUGACCUCACACAAAUCUUCAAGUCAUCAGAGGUGA